RNAcentral lists this ribosomal RNA (623 nucleotides) under uncultured bacterium. RNAcentral's name for it is "bacterial SSU rRNA". It matches the Rfam family "Bacterial small subunit ribosomal RNA", at positions 167 to 788 of the family's 1533-position model. The record is from RNAcentral.
UACCUGAUAGUAUCUUAAGCACACAUGUAAUUAAGAUUAAAGAUUUAUCGGUGUACGAUGGGGAUGCGUUCCAUUAGGUAGUAGGCGGGGUAACGGCCCACCUAGCCAACGAUGGAUAGGGGUUCUGAGAGGAAGGUCCCCCACAUUGGAACUGAGACACGGUCCAAACUCCUACGGGAGGCAGCAGUGAGGAAUAUUGGUCAAUGGACGAGAGUCUGAACCAGCCAAGUAGCGUGAAGGAUGAAGGUCCUACGGAUUGUAAACUUCUUUUAUAAGGGAAUAAACCCUCCCACGUGUGGGAGCUUGUAUGUACCUUAUGAAUAAGCAUCGGCUAACUCCGUGCCAGCAGCCGCGGUAAUACGGAGGAUGCGAGCGUUAUCCGGAUUUAUUGGGUUUAAAGGGAGCGCAGACGGGUCGUUAAGUCAGCUGUGAAAGUUUGGGGCUCAACCUUAAAAUUGCAGUUGAUACUGGCGUCCUUGAGUGCGGUUGAGGUGUGCGGAAUUCGUGGUGUAGCGGUGAAAUGCUUAGAUAUCACGAAGAACUCCGAUUGCGAAGGCAGCACACUAAUCCGUAACUGACGUUCAUGCUCGAAAGUGUGGGUAUCAAACAGGAUUAGAUACCCU